Long non-coding RNA from Zalophus californianus (California sea lion), 964 nucleotides. RefSeq lists it as uncharacterized. NCBI's taxonomy places the organism in Eukaryota, Metazoa, Chordata, Mammalia, Carnivora, Otariidae. The transcript is spliced from 3 exons. The record is from RefSeq and is a predicted model, not a curated record.
GUGAGCAAGCAGGGGGAAAUGCUGUUGUUCCAGGAUCCCAAAGCUAAUUAGUGGCUGAACGGAGACGAGAACCCCACUUUGCAGAUGCCAGGAAGAAGAGCAUUUGCAGGAUGCUGAAGGGAAGGCCAGAAGGAGCCCCAUAUUGCCUGUGACCAGCUGGCCUUGACCCUAGCGGGAUGCGGCUGGACCCUGACACCUGUGGACCCCUUCCCAGUGCAUGAGAAGUAGACAAUGGGAGCCCUUGUAGACAGAGGCACAGAUUUGAGUGACUUCAAUCCUGUUGUUGUACGGAAGCAUACAAAAAUAUUUGCAAACUGGCAGAAUCCACCUUGAACAAGGCACACAACACUUUAAAAUGAUUCCUCCAGAUCACUGCAAAGGAACUGUGGAGAGGACUCUUCUGCCAAAAAAAAAAAAAAAAAGUGAGGAAAUAGAAAAAAAGAAUCAAAUGUAAGGAAGAAAUUUUACGAGAAAUGAGCAAAGGUGCCAGUCUGACAUUGCCUGGUGAAAUUAACAGGGCAGUGUUUGAAGCCUGAGUCACUUUCUCCAGGAACUGGACCAGAACACAACGGCUCAGGUAAAAGUAAACUUCACGGUAUAUCAAGUAUACUUCAAUUUUAAAAGGAGAGAAAACUUUAAAAAUUAAAAUGAAUGAAAAAUAUUCCUCAGUGAACCAUGAGACACACUGACAAAUCUGGCGAUGCUGCCUAUUGAAUGGGACUAUCUGGGACCGAUUUUGAUGAAAUCACUGACAAAUUUGCAGAAGUCUCAAAGACAAAAACUGUGAUGUUCUAUUUGUUCCCAACAUAUAGGCAAAAAGUUCUCCCUUUUCUUAAAAAAAAAAACUAAUUUAAAAGUAUUUACUCUUUCCCCUUAAAAAUGUACUAUUUAUUUACUAAUUGAUUCAUGUAUGUAUUUAAGUGCCAUGAUCAUGUAUGUGAAGUAUAAUAAAAGAAAAAAUUCA